AGGAGAGUUUGAUCCUGGCUCAGGAUGAACGCUGGCGGCGUGCUUAACACAUGCAAGUCGAACGGAACUUAUUGAAUGAAGUUUUCGGAUGGAUUUUGAUAAGUUUAGUGGCGGACGGGUGAGUAACGCGUGGGUAACCUGCCCUGUACAGGGGGAUAACAGUUAGAAAUGACUGUUAAUACCGCAUAAGACCACAGUGCCGCAUGGCACAGGGGUAAAAGCUGCGACGGUACAGGAUGGACCCGCGUCCGAUUAGAUAGUUGGUGAGGUAACGGCCCACCAAGUCGACGAUCGGUAGCCGAUCUGAGAGGACGAACGGCCACAUUGGGACUGAGACACGGCCCAAACUCCUACGGGAGGCAGCAGUGGGGAAUAUUGCACAAUGGGGGGAACCCUGAUGCAGCGACGCCGCGUGAGUGAAGAAGUAUUUCGGUAUGUAAAGCUCUAUCAGCAGGGAAGAAGAUGACGGUACCUGAGUAAGAAGCCCCGGCUAACUACGUGCCAGCAGCCGCGGUAAUACGUAGGGGGCAAGCGUUAUCCGGAUUUACUGGGUGUAAAGGGAGCGCAGACGGUUUUACAAGUCUGAAGUGAAAGCCCGCGGCUCAACUGCGGGACUGCUUUGGAAACUGCAGGACUAGAGUAUCGGAGAGGUAAGCGGAAUUCCCAGUGUAGCGGUGAAAUGCGUAGAUAUUGGGAAGAACACCGGUGGCGAAGGCGGCUUACUGGACGAAAACUGACGUUGAGGCUCGAAGGCGUGGGGAGCAAACAGGAUUAGAUACCCUGGUAGUCCCCU
This 793-nucleotide ribosomal RNA is filed under the name uncultured Bacillota bacterium. RNAcentral describes it as "bacterial SSU rRNA". It matches the Rfam family "Bacterial small subunit ribosomal RNA", at positions 1 to 799 of the family's 1533-position model. The record is from RNAcentral. Lineage: Bacteria; Bacillati; Bacillota.